Molecule: transfer RNA, 72 nt
Filed under: Camelus bactrianus (Bactrian camel)
Lineage: Eukaryota; Metazoa; Chordata; Mammalia; Artiodactyla; Camelidae
Also listed under: 2 other names
Rfam family: tRNA
About the family: Transfer RNA (tRNA) molecules are approximately 80 nucleotides in length. Their secondary structure includes four short double-helical elements and three loops (D, anti-codon, and T loops).
Source: Rfam by way of RNAcentral
GAGGGUAUAGCUCAGUGGUAGAGUGCAUGCUUAGCAUGCACAGGGUCCUGGGUUCAAUCUCCAGUACCUCCA